Alosa sapidissima (American shad) is the source of this 610-nucleotide non-coding RNA. Lineage: Eukaryota; Metazoa; Chordata; Actinopteri; Clupeiformes; Clupeidae. The record is from the annotation of a RefSeq genome assembly.
UCAAUUAAUCAGCUGUAAUAAUGCUAUUACAUUGAGUGACAUGAGUGUAACUUCCUGUAGUGUUUCCUGUUUACAAGGCACAGGCACACUUCCAGCUAUCAGCACAUCAGAGAAUAAACUACAAAGAGAAAUAUUAAGAGCACUGACCUGAGAAAGCAACAUGGACAAAUCACUACUUCUGAUUCUCAUUAUCACCACUGAAAUAAUGGCUGACAAAAUUUAUCCUGAUCGGGACGAUGUCAAUCACCCAGAAGGAAUGAAACAAGUGACCCUGGAAUGUUCAUAUGAGUUGAACAGCCGUGGUGUUGUGCUUCACUGGUACAGACAGUACUCCAAUCAGGCACCACAAUGGCUUCUAUUCAAAGGUGCUCGAUCAUCCAAAGCUUUCAAAAGUUCUAACCCACGAUUUACCUCUAACACUGGUGAAACGUUUACUGAACUCAUCUUUGAAGAUCUGACACUGGCAGACACAGCUCUCUACUACUGUGCUCUCGAGGCACACAGUGAUACAAAGACUCUGAGAAGCUGUACAAAAACUCACAUUUUAAAUAGGAUGUUAUUCUUUCAGAGAUCAAAGCAAUUUCCUCCCAAUGCUCUGAUAUCAGUUUAA